Non-coding RNA from Triticum aestivum (bread wheat), 135 nucleotides. NCBI's taxonomy places the organism in Eukaryota, Viridiplantae, Streptophyta, Magnoliopsida, Poales, Poaceae. The record is from Rfam.
CAACUACUCCCUCUGUCCCAAAUUUCUUGUCUUAGAUUUGUCUAGAUACGGAUGUAUCUAAUACUAAAAUGUGACUUGAUACAUCCGUAUCUAGACAAAUCUAAGACAAGAAUUUUGGGACGGAGGGAGUACUGU